RNAcentral lists this ribosomal RNA (544 nucleotides) under uncultured beta proteobacterium. RNAcentral's name for it is "bacterial SSU rRNA". It matches the Rfam family "Bacterial small subunit ribosomal RNA", at positions 227 to 763 of the family's 1533-position model. Lineage: Bacteria; Pseudomonadati; Pseudomonadota; Betaproteobacteria. The record is from RNAcentral.
CGGCCGAUGGCAGAUUAGGUAGUUGGUGGGGUAAAGGCUCACCAAGCCGACGAUCUGUAGCUGGUCUGAGAGGACGACCAGCCACACUGGGACUGAGACACGGCCCAGACUCCUACGGGAGGCAGCAGUGGGGAAUUUUGGACAAUGGGCGCAAGCCUGAUCCAGCCAUGCCGCGUGCAGGAUGAAGGCCUUCGGGUUGUAAACUGCUUUUGUACGGAACGAAAAGUCUCUUUCUAAUAUAGAGGGAUCAUGACGGUACCGUAAGAAUAAGCACCGGCUAACUACGUGCCAGCAGCCGCGGUAAUACGUAGGGUGCAAGCGUUAAUCGGAAUUACUGGGCGUAAAGCGUGCGCAGGCGGUGAUGUAAGACAGUUGUGAAAUCCCCGGGCUCAACCUGGGAACUGCAUCUGUGACUGCAUCGCUGGAGUGCGGCAGAGGGGGAUGGAAUUCCGCGUGUAGCAGUGAAAUGCGUAGAUAUGCGGAGGAACACCGAUGGCGAAGGCAAUCCCCUGGGCCUGCACUGACGCUCAUGCACGAAAGCGUG